UACGUAGGUCCCGAGCGUUGUCCGGAUUUAUUGGGCGUAAAGCGAGCGCAGGUGGUUUAUUAAGUCUGGUGUAAAAGGCAGUGGCUCAACCAUUGUAUGCAUUGGAAACUGGUAGACUUGAGUGCAGGAGAGGAGAGUGGAAUUCCAUGUGUAGCGGUGAAAUGCGUAGAUAUCAGGAGGAACACCGGUGGCGAAAGCGGCUCUCUGGCCUGUAACUGACACUGAGGCUCGAAAGCGUGGGGAGCAAACAGG
Molecule: ribosomal RNA, 252 nt
Filed under: uncultured bacterium
Lineage: Bacteria
Description: partial 16S ribosomal RNA
Rfam family: Bacterial small subunit ribosomal RNA
Source: RNAcentral